CUUUACUGUAGUUUGGAAUUGACUUCGGGUUUAUUUUGCGCAGUAUAGGUGGGAGGCUAAGAGCUUACAUUUGCGGAUGUGAAGGAGCCAAUAGUGAGAUACCACUCUGAUUAAACUAGAAUUCUAAUCUUGAUGCCGUUAUCCGGCCAAGAGACAUUUUCAGAUGGGCAGUUUGACUGGGGCGGUCGCCUCCUAAAAAGUAACGGAGGCGUGCAAAGGUUUUCUCAGACUGGUCGGAAAUCAGUCGUAGAGUGUAAAGGCAUAAGAAAGCUUGACUGUGAGACUUACAAGUCGAACAGAGACGAAAGUCGGCCUUAGUGAUCCGACAGUUCUGAGUGGAAAGGCUGUCGCUCAACGGAUAAAAGUUA
RNAcentral lists this ribosomal RNA (368 nucleotides) under Palisada yamadana. Its description in RNAcentral is "bacterial LSU rRNA". It matches the Rfam family "Bacterial large subunit ribosomal RNA", at positions 2099 to 2465 of the family's 2925-position model. Lineage: Eukaryota; Rhodophyta; Florideophyceae; Ceramiales; Rhodomelaceae. The record is from RNAcentral.